UGACACCACAGCUGCCAACACUCAGCGAGGUGUGGAUGGAUGCUGCCUCCUGCCGCAGCUGCUCCAUGGCCAGCCAGGGCUGCUGGUGGGAAGCCCGUGCAGAGCAGGGCAGGAGGGCUGGGCCGGGGCUGCCGGCCCCCAGCACCGCUCAGCCUUCAGGGCUGAGCAGCGCUUGUGCUUGGCACAGGGAAGCAGAGGUGCAGAAGCACUUAUCCACAGCCCUGAAAGAGGCUGCAGGCACAGUGAGCGUGGAGCUGGUGCUUGGCCUUGUGCGGCAACCUCUUGUGCUGGUCUCGUUUUCAGCAAAACCCCUCUGGGCUGGGAGGCAGCUGCCUGUGGUGCAGAGGGUGGGAGCCACAGCUGGCUGGGACCCUGGGGCAGCAUGACGCUGCUGCACAGGAGACAGAGAGGGGCAACUGGGAAGGGAACUACCCCCCUGCUUCUGCUGUCUGGAAGUUUUCCUCGGCUUAAAGUAACACCAGACCAUCACCAGAUCAUGUCUCUGUGCAGUAGUGGAGUGCUCCCCUCCCUGCAAGCAUGGCAAAAAAAAAAAAAAAAAAAAGUGAUGACGAUCAGGCUAUGCAUCAUUUAGAUACAACAAAUGCUUUUAUAAAUGUCAAUAACAGCAUAAUUGAAGUGUCCAGCCUGGCCUUGCCACUUCUGCUUGCCUUACUGGAGGCAGAGGCCGCUUGUCCAGCAGGGGAGCAGCUCCAGAGGGGCCGCAGCUGCUGCCUGGCAGGGCUCAGGGGCUACAGCUGCUGGGCAGCUCACAAAGAGAAGGGGCCAGGGCCGGGUGCUGCUGAGGGUUGUGCCCUGCCCGUUCUGGAGGCUAACGGUGCAGGGGCUUGUUCUCCAGCUUUCACAUCUCAGGGCAGCACAGGAGAACAGCUGUGGUACCCUGCGGAGUCCCCCCAGAGCUGCAGGGGGAAAUCCUCCUCUGCUGGUGACGGUGCCUCUGUUUGCACACCAGCCUGCCUGGCCGCCACCUCACGCUGGGACCUGCUGCCAUGCUGCUUGUCACCGUGUCCCAGGCGCUUUGCCAGCCUGCUGCCCGGCAGGCACAGCUUCUGGAGGAGCUGUGUGUGCCCGGGCCCCGCUGCCUCCUGCCCCACGCCUGCCGCAGCCGCCGGCCCCAGCAGCGCCCCGGGGAGCAGCACCCUGGUGGGGAUUCCUCACCGACAGGAGGUUCGGCCGCUGCUGCAUCUGUUCAGUGCGGGCUCUUGUAGAGCACGGUAUUUCGAUUGGAAUGGCACGUGA
Molecule: long non-coding RNA, 1257 nt
Filed under: Anas platyrhynchos platyrhynchos (common mallard)
Lineage: Eukaryota; Metazoa; Chordata; Aves; Anseriformes; Anatidae
Description: lncRNA (ENSAPLG00000024018.1)
Source: RNAcentral